RNAcentral lists this long non-coding RNA (239 nucleotides) under Salvia miltiorrhiza (redroot sage). RNAcentral's name for it is "long non-coding RNA (SMIL_LNC009330)". Lineage: Eukaryota; Viridiplantae; Streptophyta; Magnoliopsida; Lamiales; Lamiaceae. The record is from RNAcentral.
AAAAUUACACGCUCUGUACCAAAUAAAUUCUUAGAAGGAGGAGACACAAAUUUUAAGAUGAAAAAAAAUGAAAAAUAAGGGUAAAAUAGAUAUUGAAAGUGGUGAAAAAAUAAAAAAUAAAAGUAUAUUCUUUUUAAUUGAUAAAUUUAUCAUGAGAAAACAAAAAACAAUAAAAAAUCACUAUUUAAAUCCCUCGUUUAUUUCCCUCAUUUCAUACAAAAAUGAAUUUCUCACUUUCC